Molecule: ribosomal RNA, 496 nt
Filed under: uncultured bacterium
Lineage: Bacteria
Description: partial 16S ribosomal RNA
Rfam family: Bacterial small subunit ribosomal RNA
Source: RNAcentral
GAUGAACGCUGGCGGCGUGCCUAAUACAUGCAAGUCGAGCGAACAGACGAGGAGCUUGCUCCUCUGAUGUUAGCGGCGGACGGGUGAGUAACACGUGGAUAACCUACCUAUAAGACUGGGAUAACUUCGGGAAACCGGAGCUAAUACCGGAUAACAUGUUGAACCGCAUGGUUCAACAGUGAAAGACGGUCUUGCUGUCACUUAUAGAUGGAUCCGCGCCGCAUUAGCUAGUUGGUAAGGUAACGGCUUACCAAGGCAACGAUGCGUAGCCGACCUGAGAGGGUGAUCGGCACACUGGAACUGAGACACGGUCCAGACUCCUACGGGAGGCAGCAGUAGGGAAUCUUCCGCAAUGGGCGAAAGCCUGACGGAGCAACGCCGCGUGAGUGAAGAAGGUCUUCGGAUCGUAAAACUCUGUUAUUAGGGAAGAACAAAUGUGUAAGUAACUAUGCACGUCUUGACGGUACCUAAUCAGAAAGCCACGGCUAACUACGUG